GACGAACGCUGGCGGCGUGCUUAACACAUGCAAGUCGAACGGAAAGGCCCUGCUUUUGUGGGGUGCUCGAGUGGCGAACGGGUGAGUAACACGUGAGUAACCUGCCCUUGACUUUGGGAUAACUUCAGGAAACUGGGGCUAAUACCGGAUAGGAUCUCCUGCUGCAUGGUGGGGGUUGGAAAGUUUCGGCGGUUGGGGAUGGACUCGCGGCUUAUCAGCUUGUUGGUGGGGUAGUGGCUUACCAAGGCUUUGACGGGUAGCCGGCCUGAGAGGGUGACCGGGCACAAUGGGACUGAGAUACGGACCAGACUCCUACGGGAGGCAGCAGUGGGGAAUAUUGCACAAUGGGAGGAAGCCUGAUGCAGAAACGCCGCGUGCGGGAUGACGGCCUUCGGGUUGUAAACCGCUUUCGCCUGUGACGAAGCGUGAGUGACGGUAAUGGGUAAAGAAGCACCGGCUAACUACGUG
RNAcentral lists this ribosomal RNA (468 nucleotides) under uncultured bacterium. RNAcentral's name for it is "partial 16S ribosomal RNA". It matches the Rfam family "Bacterial small subunit ribosomal RNA", at positions 28 to 507 of the family's 1533-position model. The record is from RNAcentral.